CCUGGUCUUUCCUUACUCUGUGCCAGGCCUGUAGCAUGGGGCCUGGUCUUUCCUUACUCUGUGCCAGGCCUGUAGCAUGGGGCCUGGUCUUCCUGUCAUGGACUAAUUGGGUCAUCCGACAUUCACCCACAUCAACAACAAUCGAUGCAAUGCGGCAUAUUCGUGAAAACUAAUGCAAUCAUCCUAUUGCAUAAUCAUGAUGCAUGAAACAUGAAUAAACAUUUAAUUUAAAAGAUUAAGUUUAGUCCUACUCACCUCUGGCUGACUCUGACAACACCGAAGCAGCUGAACUCACUGCUGGGGUCCUCGGUUCCUCGGGUCCGAACCUACACAGGUGGACUCAAAUGAGGGACCAAACAUACUUGAACAUAACUCUAAAAUACUCCCCAAAAACCCCCUAAAACAUCAU
RNAcentral lists this long non-coding RNA (409 nucleotides) under Manihot esculenta (cassava). RNAcentral's name for it is "long non-coding RNA (MESC_LNC012241)". The record is from RNAcentral. Lineage: Eukaryota; Viridiplantae; Streptophyta; Magnoliopsida; Malpighiales; Euphorbiaceae.